Molecule: non-coding RNA, 434 nt
Organism: Ciona intestinalis (vase tunicate)
Lineage: Eukaryota; Metazoa; Chordata; Ascidiacea; Phlebobranchia; Cionidae
Source: RefSeq, a predicted model, not a curated record
GUUUUUAUAUGGGUAACUAUUACUUUUCGCGGCCUGUUUCUGCUGGCGCAACGUUGGCUAUCUACAGCAAUACACCAUGACGACACACAGUCAAGCCUUUUAAUUGCUGUUGGCAGUCGGCAUUCUCCAUUUUAAAAUAAAAGUCGUGAGAAUGCGGCAAUUCUGUUCCUUGUUUACUACCAAAUAUAAGACAACAUAGAAAGAUCAAAACGUGAACCAUCGUACACCAACAUACUACACUUAAUUUUUCAAGCAUCGAGUUCUGAAACGGAGUGAUUGAUACAAACCGAGUUAUCUUUUUAACACAGCAAAGAUAAGUCUGAUUUGACCCGGAACAAAACUAUCUCCAUGCAAAACAAGAGUCCUCACAACCUUCGGCCGUCCAAGUCUCACAGCAUCAUGUAUUGGCGUGUCUCCCUCGCUGUCUCUGUCGU